GCAUUAAUGGGGUAGUGGUAACCUGGGUCGUUGCCAUCUCUGCGAUAGGGAAUUCUAUGCUCGACCCCGCCGGGGGUUCGAUUCCCCCUUAAUGCA
Mycena olivaceomarginata is the source of this 96-nucleotide non-coding RNA. The record is from the annotation of a GenBank genome assembly. NCBI's taxonomy places the organism in Eukaryota, Fungi, Basidiomycota, Agaricomycetes, Agaricales, Mycenaceae.